GGGCUUGACAUCCCACGAAUCCCUUCGAAAGAAGGGAGUGCCCGCAAGGGAGCGCGGAGACAGGUGGUGCAUGGCUGUCGUCAGCUCGUGUCGUGAGAUGUUGGGUUAAGUCCCGCAACGAGCGCAACCCUCACCUCUUGUUGCCACCAGGUCAUGCUGGGCACUCUAGAGGAACUGCCCCGGUCAACGGGGAGGAAGGCGGGGAUGACGUCAAGUUAUCAUGCCCCUUACGUCCUGGGCUACACACGUGCUACAAUGGCCGGUACAAAGGGAUGCCACACCGCGAGGUAGAGCUAAACCCAAAAAGCCGGUCUAAGUUCAGAUUGGAGUCUGCAACUCGACUCCAUGAAGGAGGAAUCGCUAGUAAUCGCGUAUCAGCACGACGCGGUGAAUACGUUCCCGGGCCUUGUACACACCGCCCGUCACACCACGAAAGCCCGUUGUACUCGAAGUCGCUGAG
This 460-nucleotide ribosomal RNA is filed under the name uncultured Methylomirabilota bacterium. RNAcentral describes it as "bacterial SSU rRNA". It matches the Rfam family "Bacterial small subunit ribosomal RNA", at positions 977 to 1434 of the family's 1533-position model. Lineage: Bacteria; Methylomirabilota (SeqCode). The record is from RNAcentral.